Molecule: ribosomal RNA, 497 nt
Filed under: uncultured bacterium
Lineage: Bacteria
Description: partial 16S ribosomal RNA
Rfam family: Bacterial small subunit ribosomal RNA
Source: RNAcentral
GAUGAACGCUGGCGGCGUGCCUAAUACAUGCAAGUCGAGCGAACGGACGAGAAGCUUGCUUCUCUGAUGUUAGCGGCGGACGGGUGAGUAACACGUGGAUAACCUACCUAUAAGACUGGGAUAACUUCGGGAAACCGGAGCUAAUACCGGAUAAUAUUUUGAACCGCAUGGUUCAAAAGUGAAAGACGGUCUUGCUGUCACUUAUAGAUGGAUCCGCGCUGCAUUAGCUAGUUGGUAAGGUAACGGCUUACCAAGGCAACGAUGCAUAGCCGACCUGAGAGGGUGAUCGGCCACACUGGAACUGAGACACGGUCCAGACUCCUACGGCAGGCAGCAGUAGGGAAUCUUCCGCAAUGGGCGAAAGCCUGACGGAGCAACGCCGCGUGAGUGAUGAAGGUCUUCGGAUCGUAAAACUCUGUUAUUAGGGAAGAACAUAUGUGUAAGUAACUGUGCACAUCUUGACGGUACCUAAUCAGAAAGCCACGGCUAACUACGUG